Macadamia integrifolia is the source of this 4830-nucleotide RNA transcript. RefSeq lists it as uncharacterized. The transcript is spliced from 8 exons. NCBI's taxonomy places the organism in Eukaryota, Viridiplantae, Streptophyta, Magnoliopsida, Proteales, Proteaceae. The record is from RefSeq and is a predicted model, not a curated record.
AAAACCCCUUUAUCGAGCUUUCUCUUCACGAAUUGCGAGGCUUUGUUUUUUUUUUAAAAUAAAUUUGACCAGACUCUUUUAAAUUUAACUUUUAACGUCUUUAUUAACUAGUUGGGAUUAGAAGCGAGCGCUGGCUGGAAGUCUCAUGGAUGAAUGGAUUUUUUUGGGUUUCACGAAGAUUUAAUGGAAACCAGGUAGGAGAGGCCUAUCUUGAAAUUACCCUUUUGUUUACUUUGACUAUUUCUCCUUUGGAAUUUUGGUUGUUGGGUUCUUGUGUGUUGUCGAAUUAUCUCUCCCGUUCUCAUUCAUUUCUUCAAGUUCUAUGCUUGAUUGUUUCACCGUGUUAGUCUUUUGUUCUUAUUAUGUGUUUUUGAUCUGCGUGGACUUGUUGAGUUUUGAUGGAGAUCGGGGACUUGUUACAACUUAGGGUUUACUGGACUUUGUCAAGCCUUCUUUUUUUCCCCCGAAAUGCGAUUUUGUUGGCUGGUAGAGGCCAGCUUCAAUGGGAUUGGAUUGUGAUCUGUGUCGGGUGUUUUAUUCCUUACGUUUAUAGUAUGGUGAACGACUGAUCUUGGGUACUUUUUUUUUUUUUUUUUUUGGUGCUUCUCUUUUGUGUUUUUUUUGCUCAAUUUUGGACAUUGACUGGGGAUUUAAAAAGAUUUCUCUUGAGUAGAUUUUCAUGGGUUGAACUUGAGGAAUCAUGGGGAGUUGCAGCGAAGAGGCAGAGGAUCGAUUCUUCGAAUCCCGAGAGGAGCUCGCGUCCUUGUAUGAUUCGGGAUCGGAUCGCCGCGACAGUUUUGACUCCAGUUCCGGGCCCGUGAAUGGGGUCUGUGAUAGUUUCCAAUACGAAGUUUGGGUUAAGAUCCCAGAAAGCAUUCGUGACCGCCGGAAUAAGUUCCUGAAACGGAUGGGUUUAAAUUUAGAUUGCACCCCAGUGGAUGAUUCCGAUGAUGUCUCCCUUAACCGCGUAGUGGGAACAGAUAGAAUCACAGAGAGCAGUGGGGCUGUGCUGGGAAGUUCUGAUUUUGAAGAUGGGUUUCAGUCGAGUCGGUCUUCCAUCUCUUGCUGGUCCAAUGGCGCUACUGAUUUUUCUGAAGAUGGGAUCUCGGCUGAGAAUUUUGUUUGUAAAAUCAAGAACUUAGAUGAUGGAACAGAGUUCAUCGUGGAUGAAUUAGGACAGGAUGGGAUGCUGAGCAGACUUCGUGAAGUCGGUUCAAAUCGACUGGUUACCGUGGAAGAGUUUGAGAAAACUCUCUGGUUAUCCCCUCUGGUGCAGCAAUUUAUGAGGAGAGAAGUUGUAGAGACAAUCAAUUUAGUGGAUAAGGCGAAGAGUGUUAAGAGGGGAUGGUUAAGGAGAUUGGUCUCCAUGUCCCGCCUUGUGAGUAGGCAAGGAGAUGGUGGCGAUUCCCAGCCCGACUAUGCUAAGUCUUCUUUGGCAAGUAGGGUUCAGAGGGUCAAGGUUCGUCCUUAUAGGAAGCGGUCGAAGGAGCUCUCUGCUCUUUAUAUGGGACAAGAAAUAUGUGCUCACGAGGGUUCAAUAUGGACAAUGAAGUUUAGUCUUGAUGGGCAGUGUCUAGCAAGUGCUGGUGAAGAUGGGGUUGUCCGUGUUUGGCAGGUGAUUGAGUCUGAGAGACCAAAUGAAGAUGGCAUUCUGGAUAUUGGUCCCUCAUUUGUAUACUUUACCAUCAAUCACUCUUCCGAGUUGGUUCCCCUUUUUGUGGAUAAAGAGAAACUGGGUAAAUUCAAGACUCUAAGGAAAACAUCAGACACAGCCUGUGUCAUCUUACCGCCAAAGGACUUUCGUCUGUCUGAAAAACCACUCCAUGAGUUUCAUGGGCACAGUGGUGAAGUCUUGGAUCUGUCAUGGUCAAAGGACAAGUAUCUGCUUUCGUCCUCCGUGGAUAAAACUGUUCGAUUGUGGCAAGUGGGAUUUGAUGGAUGCCUCAAGGUCUUCUUUCACAAUAAUUAUGUGACAUGUGUUCAGUUCAACCCUGUUAACAAUAAUUACUUCAUUAGUGGCUCAAUAGAUGGAAAAGUCCGGAUCUGGGAAAUUCCUGGUUGUCAAGUUGUUGACUGGACGGAUAUAAGAGAAAUAGUCACUGCUGUGUGCUAUCACCCUGAUGGACAGGGAGGGAUUGUUGGAUCCAUGACUGGAAAUUGUCGAUUUUAUGAUGCAUCAGAUAAUCUUUUGCAACUGGAUGAUCAAAUACGUUUACAGGGUAAAAAGAAGUCACCUUGGAAAAGGAUCACUGGCUUUCAGUUCUCCCCAAGUGAUCCUAGCAAAGUAAUGGUCACCUCUGCUGAUUCACAAGUUCGAAUUCUUCAUGGACUUGAUGUGGUCUGCAAAUUCAGGGGUCUUCGAAAUGUGGGGAGCCAAGUAUCUGCAUCUUUCACUGCAGAUGGGAAGCUUAUUAUCUCAGCUAGUGAGGAUUCUAAUGUUUAUGUUUGGAACAAUGAUAGGCAGGAUGGACCCGCAUCCUCCCAGUCAAAAAGUAUUUGGUCUUGUGAGCACUUCUUUUCUGGCAAUGCAUCUGUUGCUGUACCUUGGUGUGGCUUGAGAUCUGGGGAUGCAGUUGGCUCAACUGUUUCUGACACACUUCCAUCUCCUAAAAAAUUUGGGGCUCCACCAGCUACUAAGACAGCAAAUGGGUGGUUGCAUUGCCAGUCGGACAAGAAUCCGUGCAAUGUCCUCCCAAUGCCUUCACCUGAUCAUUUCUCUCUGAGCCAUGGAUUCUUUUCAGAGGCUUUGCCAAAGGGCUCUGCCACAUGGCCUGAGGAGAAGCUUCCUGUGUCACGCUCACUGUCCAUGCCAUCGACAGUGUGUAAAUCUCAAUACAAAUUUCUAAAAACUUCCUGCCAGAGCAAACUCAAUUCUCAUGCAUGGGGUCUGGUGAUCGUAACUGCAGGCUGGGAUGGACGUAUCCGAUCCUUCCUCAAUUAUGGGUUGCCGGUUCGUCUUUGAAACAGUAUAGGCUCAGGGUGGCUUUUGGAGAGAGUUUUGCUGCGGGGCAUUUCAACAUACGUUGUUGCCCCUUUCCUUGCUCUGGAUGCUGCAGAUAUUUCAAUGGUCAGCCCAACACGUGAAAGAAAUGAUACGUUGUGCUGCCUUGUCAAGUUGUGAUAGGGUGUUUGUGGGAGGCUCAUUUCUAAAUUUUAUCAGCAUCCAUUGCCUCAGCAGAUACAAGUUUGGUACUUCACGGGCAUGUGAAAUGUAGAGAAGUUUUGAGAAAUGUAGAGAAGUUGUGACAGGGUGUUUGUGGGAGGCUCAUUUCUAAAUUUUAUCAGCAUCCAUUGCCCCAGCAGAUACAGAUUUGGUACUUCACGGGCAUGUGAAAUGUAGAGAAGUUUUGAGAAACUGGGAUUCUCUGUUUGGGGCCCUUGAAUAGGUUUUAUACCAUGGUCUAAUUAGACCCUGACAGAGUGACAAGUGGUGAGUUAUACAUGGUUGUGUUGUAGGGAGGGCCUGGAGAUGAGAAGAGGCCAGGUUUUGUUCAUCUGGAUUUAGAAAUCCGGUUUAAUUAUACGAUUCUUUUAUUUGUUUGGUGGAGGGGAGGUGGUUGCUGCCUGAAGCCAAGGAAGGUUCAGUGGAGAUAUAUAUGUGCAUAUUGAAUAAUUAGGUAUAUUUAUGGAGCACUUGUUUAUUAAGAAUAGCGAAGAGGGCACCGGUGGUGGAUGGAAUACAUUGAUGGGAGAUAUAAUCAAGAAUGUGCACCUUUCAUGAUAUUGUUGGCUGGUCCGACUGGUUUUGCGAAAUUUGGAUCUAGUUCUUCCAGAUCUUGCGCAUGGUGGUAGCAGGCAUCUGGAGUGGGUGGAGUAGUCUCUUUGGAAAGUGAGUGGGCUUCUGGACUUCUGGUAGUUAAUGUGGGUCACCUUAUCUGGAAUACACAGAUAAUCGAAGUCUGGGAAACCAGUUCCUGUGUCGCUUUCCUGUUUCGUGUGCUGCCCGUUGCUUCUGGUCCAAAUGGUCCAGCAGAGAUGCAGCGUCAGCUGUACCCUCUCUACACGCAAGGCUGACUGUCCUGAAUUGCCCAUGCCAUGCACUGUACAGGGAUGAUAAUGGGCAAGCGGAUUGAGAUCCUUAGGUUCAAUCUCGCUGAUUUAAUUCACAUUGGCAUCUCUUGCUGCUUUCCUGCGACUGGCGGGGCAGUGAAGCAAAGUUGUCACUGGAGCUUGGCCAUCUUCCCAUUUUAAAAUACUACGCAGGUAUGGGUUUGGAAAGAAGAACUAAACUGCGUCUGAUGCUGAUAUUCUUGGUUCCCCAAGUCUUGCAUCUGGCACUAGUCUUCUGCAUAGGGCUUGGACCUUUGAUCAUAAGCAUCAGAGACACCUGGGGUUGCUUAAUCACCUCACUCUCAUACACACCGUAGUGGCUAAUGGGAAAGCUCACCCCUGCCUGCAAGACGAGAAAGCCCUCUUUUGCAUCACAUGAAUUGAAAUGCAAGAGGUUUGAAAGUGAAUGAGUUGCUAGUCGUAUAAUAUUAUUCCUGCCAGACUUGAAUCUGACGAAAACGGUUUGGAAAAUUUUCCACACUUUUGCCAAAGGAAAUCAACCAUGAAAACUACCAAAUUUUCUUCAAAGCAAGCAGCUGGGUAUGAGAAAUCUCUUGAAGGUAUAUUGCAUUGUGGCAUACCAUAUUCCACUAACUUCAUUCUGGUUGUUGGGCAGGCAAUUGCGUAGCUGGGCAGAGAAAAAUUAUUCUGUGGUAGAAUGUUAAAUAAGAUGGGAGUUUCUAUCAAAACUUCUGUUAAGAAGUCCCUCUCACUUGUAUUCGACAUAUCAAACAAUUAAAGAGUAGAUUUUCAAGCUAAAACAUAUUUUUGGUUAGACAA